UACUAUUGAUUUGUCCUUCUACAGGAUUAAUUGCCCUAAUUAUUCAGGAGAGAGGCUCACAUUGCAAAGUUCUGUUGUAUAAAUAUGGUGCCAAUGAGAUUGGCAAUUGUCUGACCAGAGCAGGAGAAUUACACCUAUAGAAUCAAACAUAAUUUCUAAAUUAUUACUUGGCAUGUCUCAUUGGGGUUCAUUUAUAAGCUUAAUAAAGCACAUUAUGACCAGCAGUUGAUAUUACUUAGGAUGACAAUCAUAAAUAACAUUAAUUUAUUUAUAUCUUUAAAAAGAUUUUUUAAUUAUUUAUUUACUGGAUUUACUGUAACUUCUCUGCAGAUUUGCACUGGGUUGACAUUGCCUAUUAAUAUGAUCUUGGAAUUUUUUUGCUUGUUUUUUAAUAUUAAGCAGCUGAUCAGCUUUUGCAUUUUUUUCUUUCAACUUCAACAAGACCUUUGUUGAGCCUUCUUCAGUGAAAGUAUCACAAGUCUAUCAUUGGAUAUUGAUAUUUUCCAUAGAAAUUGCAAUUCCAAUUUUUAUUUCUUCUAUUUCACACACCCAACAUCAAAUUUGCAUUUAAGAUAAAUAAUUAAGGGGAAAUCAGGCAACUCCCUCGCCUCUUCAGUUGUUCUGAUGGUAGCAAUGUGAUCAUGGAUACCCCUGCUCUUUUGAAUCCAGUUUGUGAUGUCCAAGUGCCGUGUUGCCUUAUUGUUGGAAGGAGAAAAUCUGAUGUUCCUCUGAUGCAAAAUGAUCUAUUCCAGUUGUGAUGGUACAACAGUCAUAACUAAAAAUAUAAAAAAAAUUCAGUGCCAAUUCUAUAUCCAGACCUUUGGGACUGUAUCCAAGAAUGGGAGGAACACAUACCCAGCUGUAACACCCAGAGGAGAAAAGGAGCAGAGAUUCUGAGGAACAUGUUUUUUCAUGUUUGUGGAAGACAGAAAAAUAAACAUCUUAAGUGUUUUUAAAACAGGGGGGAUAUGUGUUUGCUUUCAAACAGCUUUGUACUGGUGUGAUUUGCAAAAAAUAAUAGGAGAAAGCUCUGCUGUGUAUGCCACUCUGAGCUCAUGAAGGAAAGGCGGGUUAUAAAUUUAACAAAGAUGAGGUUUAAGAAAUUUAGUGAAAGACACAGAUGUGACAGAUACGCAAAAGGGUUAAAAAAACAGAUACCGGUAGUUUAUGUUUUUAUAUGCCUUCCAAUGAUUUUUAAUUUUUUCAUAUGCUCUGAUAUCUAAGCCAAUAGCAAAAGCUUCAGGAGUUAUUUCAUCUCAAAAGUGAAUGAAACUGAUAUGGAAGUAGAUACAUAUUUCUUUCAAUCCCACGCUAUAAACUAAAGACAAACUCGAGCGAGUAUCUGUUGUGACUGUCUGGUCUUUCUUUUCCUUGGGCUGAAGCUUUCCAUAUGCUGCUCCAUCCCAGCCACCUUUUCUCGCUCGCCCAGUGGCAAAAUACAGCGCCUGACUGGCCAAAACUCGAUACACGCUACAGUAUCGACUCCUUGACCUGCUGCAGUCGCAGCCUGUAAACCGAAUGCAGCACUAAAGAGCAGGGAAUGCUCUGGUCUGGAGUAAAAAAAAAACCGCAAACUCCACGGAGGGCCG
Molecule: long non-coding RNA, 1589 nt
Organism: Ahaetulla prasina
Lineage: Eukaryota; Metazoa; Chordata; Lepidosauria; Squamata; Colubridae
Exons: 3
Source: RefSeq, a predicted model, not a curated record